UGCGGAAGCGAAGUCAAAAAUUCGAUUAACAUCCCUUACACUAAAACAAAAAACGUGCUCACAAAAUAUAAAAGAUCAAACUACCUAAAGGAGAAACUUGAAAGUAAAAGCUACGAAUAUGACUAUGGAGUCUUUAGGCGUCCCCUUCGUCGUCCUCAUGCGGAACCGGCUCGGGAACGAUGUCUUCCUGAUAUGAAAUGAUUAAAUAAGGAAUGAGCUACACUAUCCCAGU
Molecule: long non-coding RNA, 232 nt
Filed under: Carica papaya (papaya)
Lineage: Eukaryota; Viridiplantae; Streptophyta; Magnoliopsida; Brassicales; Caricaceae
Description: long non-coding RNA (CPAP_LNC014770)
Source: RNAcentral